UGGCCGCCAUUUGGUCCUUUCUCGAGCUUCACCCACGCAGCGAUACGUAACGUCCUUUUCUUCUCAGAUCCAUAACCUUUGUCCCGAGAAGCCGCGGCAUACUUUACUUCGUAACUGCUGCGUAAACCUCUCAUAAACGGCAAUGUAAUCAAAUAUCAGCGUCGCAUUAUGCAGGGAGGUUAUGUCCACGGGCUUUUCAAAACAACGCAUCAUCGAGAUUACGCCCACGGUCGACGUUUGGCACUUGUACUCUUCUUUAGGGAUUUGCAGACAUCAGGAAAGUCCCGAUCGAUUGCAAAAUCAUAAGCGACAGUAAAGAAAUAUUUGUAAUACAGUUAACCCUCUGUAAUGUAAAUGUAAAUGUUAACCAUUUGCAGUUAACCAUCGCAAAGGCUAAAUCAACGUUUCUUCGGUUCUUUCCAGAUUUGUUGCUACUGAUGUUUGCACCAACGCGCUUCCGCGCAUGUACCGGCCAUCCUAACCUAACACUGUAACCGCUCGUGUAAACCGCGUAAAUGGUAAUGUAAUACACGUAUCGAAUGGCUGCACGAGGUUAAGCCUAGGUGGGCUUCGAAACAAACAGGUUGGAACAAGCUGCACGAGCUCGACAAUGGAAAACCUUGGCAAUAAAAAUCCCUUGCCUGCAAAAUCGGAGACGUAACGACUGGACAAUUGGCUUGAACUUUUCCAAAGGAUCGAAGAGGUGCAACGUGCAUGACCAUUGCCCUCUCACAGUAACAAUAAAAUGUGACCUCAAGGGAAGGAGAAAUUAAUCGAAGCGAACAUUAAACGACUGAAAUCGCGGUAUUGUUUAUUCAUUACGUCACCGCACGCAAGUCGUGCGAACUUACAAGUGCUUACGCAGUUAUGUAUAAAAUAAGCAUACGCACACUGACGCACCGGGUCGCUCGUCUCGCACGAGCUCCAUGACUCGAAAGAAUCCCGAAGGACGAGUACUGUAAAUAGAUCCGCAUCUUCGAUUUCUCCACGGGGAAAUCGUCGACCAGGCGGCCAAUAAUUCCGCAUGACACCGUUGAUAGACCUCUCGGUACGGAUUAUAAAUGAGAAAGGGCAAAAAACUCGCAAAUUCUUAGAUCAAGCCGUGCAACCUUGAUCACGUGGACUUCGGCUAAUCAUAUACUCUCAAUCCGGAAAUCGAUUAAAUGAUGGCUCAAUUAGCGACCAGUCAGAGGAAAGGGACGGCUGUACUCUGAUCAAAAUGCCCAAGUCAAUUUACAUACUCAAAUCAUUGGUUAUUUUAA
Molecule: long non-coding RNA, 1262 nt
Organism: Orussus abietinus
Lineage: Eukaryota; Metazoa; Arthropoda; Insecta; Hymenoptera; Orussidae
Exons: 3
Source: RefSeq, a predicted model, not a curated record